RNAcentral lists this ribosomal RNA (253 nucleotides) under uncultured microorganism. RNAcentral's name for it is "partial 16S ribosomal RNA". It matches the Rfam family "Bacterial small subunit ribosomal RNA", at positions 524 to 776 of the family's 1533-position model. The record is from RNAcentral.
UACGGAGGAUCCGAGCGUUAUCAGGAUUUAUUGGGUUUAAAGGGUGCGUAGGCGGCACUUUAAGUCAGGGGUGAAAGCCCUAUGCUCAACAUAGGGAUUGCCUUUGAUACUGAACGGCUAGAGUGAAGAUGGAGUGGGUGGAAUGUGUUGUGUAGCGGUGAAAUGCAUAGAUAUAACACAGAACACCGAUCGCGAAGGCAGCUCACUAAUUUUCAACUGACGCUCAUGCACGAAAGCGUGGGGAUCAAACAGG